This 64-nucleotide transfer RNA is filed under the name Muscina stabulans. RNAcentral's name for it is "tRNA-His". The record is from RNAcentral. Lineage: Eukaryota; Metazoa; Arthropoda; Insecta; Diptera; Muscidae.
AUUUAAAUAGUUUAAUAAAAAUAUUGAUUUGUGGUAUCAAUGAUAAGAAAUUUCUUUUUAGAUC